AACGAACGCUGGCGGCAGGCUUAACACAUGCAAGUCGAGCGCCCCGCACGUGGUGCGGCAGACGGGUGAGUAACGCGUGGGAACGUACCUUUUGGUUCGGAACAACUCCGGGAAACUGGAGCUAAUACCGGAUAAGCCCUAACGGGGAAAGAUUUAUCGCCGAAAGAUCUGCCCGCGUCUGAUUAGCUAGUUGGUGAGGUAACGGCUCACCAAGGCGACGAUCAGUAGCUGGUCUGAGAGGAUGAUCAGCCACACUGGGACUGAGACACGGCCCAGACUCCGACGGGAGGGAGCAGUGGGGAAUAUAGGAAAAGGGGCGCAAGCCUGAUAAAGCCAUGCCGCGUGAGAGAUGAAGGCCUUAGGGUAGUAAAGCUCUUUUGUACGGGAAGAGAAUGACGGUAACGGAAGAAUAAGCACCGGCUAACUACGUG
Molecule: ribosomal RNA, 431 nt
Filed under: uncultured bacterium
Lineage: Bacteria
Description: partial 16S ribosomal RNA
Rfam family: Bacterial small subunit ribosomal RNA
Source: RNAcentral